CUUUCCACAAGCCGUAAGACUAAUCAACACCUCUACCCACUAAAUCCACCACUACUCGAUUAUUUCCCAUUAUGGGCAGCCUAGCAUCACUUUAUGGACAUCACUCUACAAUUAUGUAUUGCAUUGAACUGCUGCUGCUAAGUUAACAAAUUUCACGUCACAUGCCAGUGAUAAUAAACCUGAUUCUGAGUUAUGGUGUUUACUGAAUAACAUUGCACCAUCACUCCAGUGCAAUCAGAUUUGGGUCAUGGCCCAGGUUUCCUGUGCAUGCAUACUCAGUAAAUCCAAGAACAAUAAUCGAAAUAAUGAAAAACUAACCACGGAGGAUGAACACGAAACCGACGUGUAAAAGAGAGCAAACUGUGCAAAUACAAAAGAAAAAAAGAAAUAAUAAUAAUAAACAAAUAAGCAAUAAAUAUUGUGAACAUAAGGCGAAGAGUGCUUGAAAGUGAGUGCAUAGGUUGUGGGAACAGUUCGGUAAUGGGGUAAGUGAAGUUGCGUGAAGUUUCCCCUCUGAUUGAAGAGCCCGAUAGUUGAGAGGUAAUAAUUGUUCCUGAACUUGGUGUUUGAGUCCUGAGGUUUCUGUGCCUUCUUUGUGAUGGCAGUAGUAAGGAAAAAACAUUGCCUAUAUGGUGAGAGUCUCAGCUGAUUGACGCCGCUUUCCUGUGAUGUAGAUGUGGUCAACAGUGGUGAAGGCUUUACGCAUGAUGGACUGCACCACAUCCAACACUCUUUGUAGGAUAUUCCAUUCAAGGGCAUUGGUGUUUCCGUACCAGGUUGUGAUGCAGCCAGUCAAUAUACUCCCCACCACACAUCUAUAGAAGUUUAUCAAAGUUUUAGAUGUCAUAACAUAUCUUCACAAACUGCUAAGGAAACGGUGGCACUGCUGUGCUUUCUCCUUUGUUGCACUUACGUGCCGAGCCCAGGUCAGGUCCCCUGAAAUGAUAACACUGAGGAAUUUAAAGUUGCCGGCCCUCUCCACUUCCGAUAUCCUGAUGAGGACUGGCUUAUAACCUCUGGUUUCCCCCUCCUAAAGUCAAUAAUCAGCUCUUUGGUCUUGCUGACAUUGAGUGAGAGGAUGCCCUUGUGGUACCACUGAGCCGCAAUCAUAGUGAACUUAUUUGAGCAAUGUGGAAAAUGAGUGAGGACUGUACUAUAAUGGCUGCAUUGAACAGUUGGCAAAGCUGUGGAACUAAAUGAAAUAAAAGUAGCAUAUAACAAGGACAUCUUUCAACUCUGCUGAAAAUCCAAAUGGUUUGUCAUAAAAUAAACUGUGGUCGCAAUUAAAAUGUUUUAUAUUAUGUAGCUGUGUUCUCCCCAUCUGCACUCAAAAGCCAUUUUCAUAUUGUCUUCCUCUCCUCUUCUAGCUUCAUGUUAUUAAUAAAAAGUUCCUUGCAAAAGAAGGGAUCAUCACCUGCCAUCGUUAGUGCUGAGCAGGAUAAGGCAGAUGUUGUCUAAUGGUUGCAUAUUGCGAUUCAGCCUGGAGCUGAUUGGUGUGAAAAUACAGUGCUUGUCACCACAGCCUCCUCACAACUUGCCUGAGGCAGGGUUGGAAAUUUCAGGAGCUGAUUCACUGCCAGAUAUAGUGAAGAUACAAUCACAGAAAAUGUGAUUAUUUCCCCACUCCCUAACUCGUAAAUUAUUCCCCUAGCAUCACCGAUAGAUUCCCCAGUGUUUUAUGCAGUGCACUGGUGUGUGUGUGUCAUCUAGGUACAAUACGCAGCUGGGGGUGAUAAAUUUGCACUAACAGAUAUUCCCUAAGAGCAGUCUCAUGACAUGCACACAUUUGUCUGAAGGCAUUCAGACUUUGCUGGCCAGAUUUGCUUUUGACUGUAAACCAUACUGGGUGACUUAUGUAAUAUAAGUCACAGCUUGUGGUAACAUAGUGGUUGAGUUAAACAGACUGGCAACAGAGUUCUGGACCAUUUGUCCAGACAUGAGCUCAAAUCACACCACAGCCACUGAGGAAUAAGCUUUCAGGAAAGCAAAUAAAUCCUGAUUUUCUUUAGGAAAAAGCUAAUUUUAGUUAUAGUUAUGUUAUGGUAGCCAAGAAACUUGUGGAUUGCUGUACAAAACAAAAUGUGUUUGUUUCAUUCAAUCCCUCGAGGGGAGGAACUCUGCCAUCCUUAAACAACCUGGCCCAUAUGUCACUCCUGACUGUAAAUGUGAUUGGCUCUAAACUGCCUUUCAUUUGGGGCAGGUUUGGAGGGAGAAUAAAGACUGCAUUUCCGUGAGCAAAUAAGUACAAUAUUCAGUAUCUACAAUCAUUUAAUAUGAAUAAAACUGUAUCCAUAUCAGCUAAAACAAAGUGAUCUGACAAGAGUAAUAUUAUCACAACCCAACCAUCAGGAAAGUGCUGAGAUGAAGGAGUGGCUGGUUUUGCUUGACUGUUUAAACCUCAAACCCUCAAACCCUGUUCUCCACACAUGAAGUGUUCCUGUGUGUCUGUCACCAGCAUCUCAAAAUAAAAUUGCCUUUAAAAUCCCAGAAUAAAAUCAAAAAAUGUCUGCCCAUUUUUAUUUUGUAAGGAGAACGGUAGCCCCACAAAUGCACUGUUCUUUUAUACAACAGCAAACCCAGACUUGCAAAAGAGUGUCAAUGAGUUCAUAACCUGCACCUUGGAAUAGAGCAACCAGACCAGUUCCCUCUUUCCUACUUGUAAAUCCAAAAUCAAAGAUCAAUCCAAAGUUCCCCCAAACCAACCUUAGCUACAGGCAUUAGCAAACAAAUCAGCUUAUUAGUAUAAUUAUUGCACAUGUUAAUUAUCUGUACAAACAUAACAUAA
Molecule: long non-coding RNA, 2785 nt
Organism: Mobula hypostoma (lesser devil ray)
Lineage: Eukaryota; Metazoa; Chordata; Chondrichthyes; Myliobatiformes; Myliobatidae
Exons: 3
Source: RefSeq, a predicted model, not a curated record